GGAAAGUGAGGCUGCCUAGGUUCCCCUGUCGUUGCCUGCAACGCACGGGGGCUAAGAGGGAAGUCGGUGCCCCGUCUCGUUCGGGAAAGCCGGCGCUGCCCCCGCAACUGUAAGCGGCGAGCUGAUGUCCACCAUGUCACUGGGGUAGCCCCCGGGAAGACGGACGGAGGCGAUGAUCCGUGAGCCAGGAGACCUGCCUUAGGCGAAAUAACGUC
RNAcentral lists this non-coding RNA (215 nucleotides) under Devosia riboflavina. The record is from RNAcentral. Lineage: Bacteria; Pseudomonadati; Pseudomonadota; Alphaproteobacteria; Hyphomicrobiales; Devosiaceae.